CAAUGAGCUGUCUCCUUGCCAACCAGCAGCUCCCUUGGUAGGGGCAUGCAGAAGACCUGAUGACACAAACCCUCCAAAGAGUUUCACCCUCACCACAACAGGUGGCUUCCUGCUCGGCAGCCCAUCCUGCAUCACUUCAGUGGACUUCUCUGACAUCUACUAGACCACAUUAAAUGAAUCACAGCCUUGAAACUGAACUGGAAGGACUUCCUUCAAGAUUUUUAUCUAAUUCCUGUUGGACAGUGUAAAAUGCCACUUCUUCCAGGGUUGCCUGCAUAUCAUCAAAAGGGAAAUAGUACUCAUCGAAGAUGUGCCUUUGCUAGGAACUAGGACAAGGGUGGCCUUUAUAAAUUCAUGAAGAGAAGGAGCCAGCAUAUGAACUUGCUGCCUAUCUUUAGCAAGGAGAUGCAAAUGACAUCCACAAACCUCUUCUGCUGUAUACCUGGAUGAAAGCAAGGCUAGCUGUGUGUCCUAUGGCACCAAGGACUGAAAGAUUGUAAGAAGUAAGAUGACCUACAUCCAAAGUGAAAAGUUAUUCAGCCUCUGAAGAGAAGCAUUUUGUUUGGGGAUCUUCAAGUAUGCUUGUCAGCACCGAGAACUGGAAAAAAAUCUCUGAUUGUCCUGCAGCAAUGGCAUUAAAGGCUCCUCAUAACAUACAGAACCAGAAUUGUGCCAUAAUUUACUGAAAUUGAACAUUGCUCUGUGACUGCUAAUUUUCCAUCGAGAUGAUUCUGUCUCUAACCAAGAAAAGAAAAGUUUGUCUUCCUGACUGCUGACACUGCUGACCAAGCCCACCACCAGAUGCCUGGCUGCACACCCAGAGGGCAGCCGCUUCCCGUGGUCCUCUCGAAGAACUUCCCUUUUGCAAUGCAUGUUUAGCAAGUGGAUGAGUUUGUCUUUUCUGAUUUCUCUGCAAGCUCUGCAUUGCCCACCUGAACCAGUGCUUCAGAAGAACUAAUGGGAUCUCUGACCCUCCAACAUCCUCUUCCAGACUUUCACUUUCCUGGCUCCUUGCAGGGACAUGUAAUAAACGUGCUCUCCAGAGA
RNAcentral lists this long non-coding RNA (1046 nucleotides) under Homo sapiens (human). RNAcentral describes it as "HSALNT0373485". Lineage: Eukaryota; Metazoa; Chordata; Mammalia; Primates; Hominidae. The record is from RNAcentral.